This 794-nucleotide ribosomal RNA is filed under the name uncultured bacterium. RNAcentral's name for it is "bacterial SSU rRNA". It matches the Rfam family "Bacterial small subunit ribosomal RNA", at positions 99 to 869 of the family's 1533-position model. The record is from RNAcentral.
CGUACGGGUGAGUAACGCGUGGGUAAUCUACCUUCGAAUUGGGGAUAACGUUGCGAAAGUGACGCUAAUACCGGAUAAUAUCAUAAGGACUUUGGUUUUUAUGAUCAAAGAUGGCCUCUCCUUGGAAGCUAUUGUUUGAAGAUGAGCCCGCGUCCCAUUAGCUUGUUGGUGGGGUAAUGGCCUACCAAGGCAGCGAUGGGUAGCUGGUCUGAGAGGAUGAUCAGCCACACUGGAACUGACACACGGUCCAGACUCCUACGGGAGGCAGCAGUGAGGAAUUUUGCGCAAUGGGGGAAACCCUGACGCAGCAACGCCGCGUGAGUGAUGAAGGCUUUCGGGUCGUAAAGCUCUGUCAAGUGGGAAGAACUUUCAUGGGGUUAAUAUCCUCAUGUUUUGACGGUACCACUGAAGGAAGCACCGGCUAACUCCGUGCCAGCAGCCGCGGUAAUACGGGGGGUGCAAGCGUUAUUCGGAUUUACUGGGCGUAAAGCGCGCGUAGGCGGCCGUUUAAGUCAGAUGUGAAAGCCCGGGGCUCAACCCCGGAAGUGCAUUUGAUACUAUUCGGCUUGAGUAUGGGAGAGGGAAGUGGAAUUCCUGGUGUAGAGGUGAAAUUCGUAGAUAUCAGAGGAACACCGGUGGCGAAGGCGACUUCCUGGACCAAUACUGACGCUGAGGCGCGAAAGGCGUGGGGAGCAAACAGGAUUAGAUACCCUGGUAGUCCACGCAGUAAACGGUGAUCACUAGGUGUAGCGGGUAUUGACCCCUGCUGUGCCGCAGCUAACGCAUUAGUGAUC